CUGCUAAGUGUCUGUUUCAGCGUGAACACUGAAGACAGGAGUCCCCAGGAGUGAAAGUCCAGUGGUUCUGAACCACAUCUUGGGAUCUGGCUCCGCCCUCCGCCUGCCUUUGGGCACGCACCUUGACUUCUGAAGCUGUUUGUCUCUGCAAGGAUGGGGAUGGCUGAACAGAGAUGGCACUGGGGAAGCUCAGCAAGUAUCUGGUGUGACCAGUGUCAUGAACACUGGUGUUCAUUGGGACAAGCAGAAGAAAACUGACCAAUGGCUGGAAUAUCAACUAGAUGUCAGCCUGGCCUCUUGGCCUUGAGACUCAACCAAGGCUUGCCCUGGACCCCUGGCCUCCUGGCCUCGUUGUCACAAAUACUGGGAUUACAAGGUAAGGCAAGUUACCUGAAGUUAUAGUCAGCCCUCCUCUGGAAUGUGAGCCUGAGUCUCCUCGGCCUGCCCUUUCCAUGGACCUUUCUUUGAGGUACCUUGGUACCCCAGGGGAAAUGUAGAGAAGAUGUUUUGCAGGUUGGAACCCCUUCCGUUUCUACCAUUACAAAGGGGUUUAAGCCGGGCCCCUUUAAUGCCCAGGUCUUGCUUCUCUCCUAUCCCUCAUUUCCUACUAUCCUGACAGCUGUGGUCAGAACUGAGCUGUCCUCAGUCAUGAACAGGGAGGAAAGGAGACAGACAGCUGUGUGGGUAGCUUGGACAGGCAAGAAGCUCUCUCCAGUUUCUGUCCACACUUCUGUCACCAUGUCUGACGUCUGGACCCAGAGCUCAUUCAGUAUAAGGAGAACCGGUUGGCUAAGCCCACUGGCCUGACAGUCUCAGGAAUUAACUUUCUCUCAGGCCCCUCCCACCUCUCUGGGCUGUAAUCACACUCACCAGACAGCAGCCAGUGUAGCCUCUGCACAUAGCACCUCAUCACCUUCUCCAAGCCUGUGAUGUACGUCUCCAUCUCCCGCAGCGUCCACUGGAUGUGUCUCACUACUCCCUGGGGAAGGCAAGCGGAGGCUAGUCUAUCAGUGUUGGGUCAUAGUCUUAGCACCCCUAAAAUAGUUGAUGCCAUUAUAAUCUGCAAUCAUUAACGUAUUUUUCUGUAUAUAUGUUCAUUUGUUUGCGUGCCUACAUUUGAAACAGGGUCUCACUACGUGGUUCAGGUUGGCCUUGAACUCAUCAGCUUCUUUCUUCUGCCUCCUGAGUCCUGGGACUAUGGCAGAGACCAUCAUAUUUGGACCAGUUUUGUUUAUUGAAAAGUUUUUUCUUUUAUUACUAGAUUGAAUGGUUCUGCGAAGGAAAGGGGAGUGGGAUAAUGGUGGAAGACAAGGGAGUCACUGGAAUAGUAAAAACCACGCCAUCUCCAAGUUUUAAAAUAAGAAAUCCUUGGUGAAAGGCUGGAGGGUCCAUACAUCUCAAACAGAAAGAUGAUCUCGGACAGAGAGGGGUCAGCAUGUGAAAACAACACCAAGUUCUUUUAGUGGAUAGUCCUUUCGGCUAUUUUUAAUUUCCUCUGAUGUUGAUAACAUGGUAUCAAAGGGCAAAGAGGAAAGGAAGCCAAUGUUUACCUUGUACCUAAAGCACUUACUGCAUUCUCAGAACAAUGAGAAAAAUACCUCCUGACUAGAAAGCACAGAGAGGGGACAUGUUCCCUCCUGCUGUCCUAACAGAGCCAUGACCAGUGUCAGGUACUCUAGUUCUCUAGUUGUUUGAAUGAGAAUGCCCCACCCCAUGGGCUCUAAGGAUUAGGAGGUUGUGACCUUGUUGGUCUAUCAGUGAAGUGGGCUUUGAUGUUUCAAAAACCCAUGCCAUUCCUAAUUAGCUCUCUCUGCCUCAUGCCUGUGGAUAGGAUGGAAACUCUCAGCUACGGCUCUACUGCCUGCCUGCCUACAUGCUGCCAUACUUCCCACCUCAAAGGUCACGGACUGUCGCCCUCUGAAACUGUAAGCCCAAAUAGACCCUUUCCCCUAAAAGUUGCCUUUGUCACAGUUUCUCAUCACGUUGAUGGAAAAGAGACAGGUACCAGUACUUUGGAGUGACUACUUCAGCCCUGGCCUGGGUGCUUGAUACCUGCUUCUAGGCCUUACCAUCUACUCCAGAGUGUGGUCUCAGACCACAGGGGAUUGGCUUUUCUUUUUAAAGUCAGAAUUCUAUAUUUUCCACCAACUGAGGGAUGUCCUGCUUUAGGGAGUGAGGCUAGACAAGCAGAAAUGGAAGUCGGUGUUACCUGAUCUUCUCUCUGCCACUAGCAGCUGACAGAAGGUAAGAAGGGAAUGGGGGAUGGAGAGCGUCAUCACACUGUGACUUACAUUGAUCUCUAUACUGGGGAAGAGACUGCAGUGUCUGGCCAGUGCCGACCCCCGUACUGACUUUUGGUAUCUACAGUUGGGACCGAGGCAUUUGGAGAGCUCCAGUUUCAGUCUCUUCAGCCCGCAAGUGGCUGUCCACUGUGAAAUAAAACACUGUCAGGCCAAAAUGAGUGGUUUGUCUUAUUUAUUUAUUUAUUUAUUUAUUUAUUUAUUUAUUUAUUUAUUUGAGACAGCUCGGGUCCUCUCCAUUGCCCUGGUUGCCGUGGAACUUGCUUAUGUAGACCAGGCUGGCUUUGAACUCACAGAGAUCCACUUGCCUCUGUCUCCUCGGUGCUGGGAUUAAGUGUGCACCACUGGGCCCGGCUUGCUUUUGUUUGACACAGUGAGACUAAAUGUAGUGAUAUGGCUUCCCAAGGCCACCAGUGAGGAGGAAAGCAGACUUGCUUCUGAACUUAACAUUAUUACCCCAUGUGCACGGUAAGCAGGCAUUCUUAACAUGUUUGGCUUCUUCCAAGUGUGCCCACCCUCCUGGAAGAUAUGGUUGGUAGAAGAAAUUACUAAGGGGCACUUGCUGAUAUGCACAACUGAAUACCUCUUGACUUGAGCAUAGAGUGUCCUUCCUGGGCAGCUCAAUGGAAGAAUUAAUCCUUCUGAUGGGUUUUCCUUGACUGUACCUCUUGUACACAGAACCUACAGAAACACAGCAGUGUUACCAUGGAUAUGUUUCUCCCCUUUCCCCUUUCCCAUGUCAGUUUCCCUGCAAGUCAAAUUCUCUGCAGACUAUUUAGGUAUAAUCUGCUGAAGAGGUAGAAGGUAAAUCAUGAGACGGAGUGGGCUGCUCAGGGUUCCCUUUCUCUAUUUAGCAAGGAGUCCAGCUGGGACCGAUACUGUGAUGGCUAAUCUUCCUUGUCAAAUCGACAGGCUUUAGAACCACCUGGAAGACAUGGCCCUGCCUGACGUUUUGCGGGAGCUUCCAGGGAGGCUUGAGGAGGGAAGACCCACUCGAAUGAGCUGACACCACAGCAUGGGCUGAGCUUCUGGAGGACAUAAAGGAAAAGGGGACAAACACCAGCCUUCCUUUUUCUCUGCUUCCUGACUGCAGGCCCAGUGUGGCCAGCUGCCUUGUGUCCCUGCUGCCAUAUCUGACAGUUUCUCCCUCUACUUCCCCACCUGGAUAUCUCAUCAAAUUGAGAGCCCAAAUAAAGCCUUUAGUUGC
Rattus norvegicus (Norway rat) is the source of this 3507-nucleotide non-coding RNA. NCBI's taxonomy places the organism in Eukaryota, Metazoa, Chordata, Mammalia, Rodentia, Muridae. The record is from RefSeq and is a predicted model, not a curated record.